Rhypophila decipiens is the source of this 153-nucleotide non-coding RNA. The record is from the annotation of a GenBank genome assembly. NCBI's taxonomy places the organism in Eukaryota, Fungi, Ascomycota, Sordariomycetes, Sordariales, Naviculisporaceae.
UGCUCGGUGGCGUAGGUGGUAACAGCGUGCGUGGGACAGUGAGCGGCAAUCUCUCCCCCUUCCAUUUUCGGCGGCAUGGAUGGCCCCUAGCGUAAACACCUAGUUGUUUAACUGGGCGCGCAGAUCGCGGGUUCGAAUCCCGUCCGAGUCUAA